This 460-nucleotide ribosomal RNA is filed under the name uncultured bacterium. RNAcentral's name for it is "SSU rRNA". It matches the Rfam family "Bacterial small subunit ribosomal RNA", at positions 26 to 518 of the family's 1533-position model. The record is from RNAcentral.
AGAAUCAACGCUGGCGGCGUGCCUAACACAUGCAAGUCGAACGAGAAAGGGGAGCAAUCCCUGAGUAAAGUGGCGCACGGGUGAGUAACACGUGAAUUAUCUACCUUUGAGUGGGGAAUAGCUGAGGGAAACCUUAAUUAAUACCGCAUAAUACCUACGGGUCAAAGCCGAAAGGCGCUUAAAGAGGAGUUCGCGGCAGAUUAGUUAGUUGGCGGGGUAAUGGCCCACCAAGACGAUGAUCUGUAUCCGGCCUGAGAGGGCGCACGGACACACUGGAACUGAAACACGGUCCAGACUCCUACGGGAGGCAGCAGUGGGGAAUUUUGCGCAAUGGGGGAAACCCUGACGCAGCAACGCCGCGUGGAGGAUGAAGUAUCUCGGUACGUAAACUCCUUUCGAUAGGGAAGAUAAUGACGGUACCUAUAGAAGAAGCCCCGGCUAACUUCGUGCCAGCAGCCGC